Molecule: ribosomal RNA, 274 nt
Filed under: uncultured bacterium
Lineage: Bacteria
Description: partial 16S ribosomal RNA
Rfam family: Bacterial small subunit ribosomal RNA
Source: RNAcentral
CUACGUAGGGUGCAAGCGUUGUCCGGAUUUAUUGGGCGUAAAGGGCUCGUAGGCGGUCUGUCACGUCGGAUGUGAAAACUCGGAGCUCAACUCCGGGCCUGCAUCCGAUACGGGCAGACUAGAGUUCGGUAGGGGAGAUUGGAAUUCCUGGUGUAGCGGUGGAAUGCGCAGAUAUCAGGAGGAACACCGAUGGCGAAGGCAGAUCUCUGGGCCGAUACUGACGCUGAGGAGCGAAAGCGUGGGGAGCAAACAGGAUUAGAAACCCCGGUAGUCC